Molecule: ribosomal RNA, 278 nt
Filed under: uncultured bacterium
Lineage: Bacteria
Description: partial 16S ribosomal RNA
Rfam family: Bacterial small subunit ribosomal RNA
Source: RNAcentral
GAUGAACGCUGGCGGCAGGCCUAACACAUGCAAGUCGAGCGCCCCUUUCGGGGGGAGCGGCGGACGGGUUAGUAACGCGUGGGAACGUGCCCUCCUCUACGGAAUAGCCAUUGGAAACGAUGAUUAAUACCGUAUACGCCCUUUUGGGGAAAGAUUUAUCGGAGGAGGAUCGGCCCGCGUUAGAUUAGAUAGUUGGUGGGGUAACGGCCUACCAAGUCUACGAUCUAUAGCUGGUUUGAGAGGAUGAUCAGCAACACUGGGACUGAGACACGGCCCAG